AACAGGGAUUGCCUUAGUAACGGCGAGUGAAGCGGCAACAGCUCAAAUUUGAAAUCUGGCUCUUUCAGGGUCCGAGUUGUAAUUUGUAGAGGAUGCUUCGGCGUGGGCCCCGGUCUAAGUUCCUUGGAACAGGACGUCACAGAGGGUGAGAAUCCCGUACGUGGCCGGCGGCGCUCGCCAUGUGAAGCUCCUUCGACGAGUCGAGUUGUUUGGGAAUGCAGCUCUAAAUGGGAGGUAAAUUUCUUCUAAAGCUAAAUACUGGCCAGAGACCGAUAGCGCACAAGUAGAGUGAUCGAAAGAUGAAAAGCACUUUGGAAAGAGAGUCAAACAGUACGUGAAAUUGUUGAAAGGGAAGCGCUUGCAACCAGACCUGCCCGUAGUCGCUCAUCCAGGCUUCUGCCUGGUGCACUCUUCUGCGGUCAGGCCAGCGUCAGUUCUGGCGGUCGGAUAAAGGCGGCGGGAAUGUGGCUCCUCUCGGGGAGUGUUAUAGCCCGCCGUGCAAUGCGGCCAGCCGGGACUGAGGUCCGCGCUUCGGCUAGGACGCUGGCGUAAUGGUUGUAAGCGGCCCGUCUUGAAACACGGACCAAGGAGUCUAACAUCUGUGCGAGUGUUUGGGUGUCAAGCCCGGGCGCGUAAUGAAAGUGAACGGAGGCGGGAACCUUAGGGUGCACCGUCGACCGAUCCUGAUGUCUUCGGAUGGAUUUGAGUAAGAGCAUAGCUGUUGGGACCCGAAAGAUGGUGAACUAUGCCUGAAUAGGGUGAAGCCAGAGGAAACUCUGGUGGAGGCUCGCAGCGGUUCUGACGUGCAAAUCGAUCGUCAAAUUUGGGCAUAGGGGCGAAAGACUAAUCGAACUAUCUAGUAGCUGGUCUGC
This 872-nucleotide ribosomal RNA is filed under the name Gloniopsis subrugosa. RNAcentral's name for it is "partial large subunit ribosomal RNA". It matches the Rfam family "Eukaryotic large subunit ribosomal RNA", at positions 67 to 959 of the family's 3401-position model. Lineage: Eukaryota; Fungi; Ascomycota; Dothideomycetes; Hysteriales; Hysteriaceae. The record is from RNAcentral.